UAUAUUCAAUGUAUCUACAUUUAUUUAUUUUAAACGUAAAUUAGAAAAAGUGAGCAAGCAAUAUAUUAAACUGUAUAAAAGAGAGCAGGAGAAAAAAUAUAUAAUAAAUUGUAGAAGUAUUUAGAAAUGUAACAAAAUUUUUAUUAUAAAAUGCAUGUUUCCUUAUUGAUAAUGUAAAAAUUUUUGUCACAUACAAAAUUAAGUAUAUGUAAGAGAUUGUUGUGAGAUGUAUGAAGUUAGAUGUUUUAUUAUUUAGUUUCGAUAAAUCACCUUUUCAAUUUGAAAAGACCCGAGGUAAUUAAAAAAAAAAUGAUUUAUAUAACGUUAUUCUAUAUAUUAAGAAUAAAUAUCUAAUCUUUAAGUCCGGAUCUACAAUAGUUCAAAAAUUCUGAUGAAAUCUGUAGUGGCCUCGCUAUUAAUGAAAUCUUGAUUUCCUGCUUUUCUCAGAAAAUCUAUUGCAUCGGGAACAGAAUUGCUAAUGACUUGAACUGCUAAUCUAACAUUCAUUUUUUUAUUAUAAAAAUUCGUAUGUUCCUUAGACAGUUUAUUACAUAAUUUGAGAUUAUCCAUUUCUUGCAAAAUAUGCAGUACUCGGAUAUAUUCAAAUGAUAUUUUUCCUGCUUUAGAGUAAAGCAUUUUAUCAAAAAAUGUGUUUCUAAUAAGUUUAAUCAUAUAGGCAGCAUCAAGUAUGCAAUAAACAUUAAUCAGUAUCGAGAGAUGUAUGAAUGAUGUCUUGAGUUCUAAAAAAACAAAAUUUGAGAAAUCACACCCAAGUAAUUCAAAAGUUUUCAAAUUGGCUUUGGCACCAUCAUAAGCGAUGAAAUGUACAAUAUAAUACCAACUUCAUAGAGUUUUAUAAGAGCAUGAAUAAGUAAUUAUGGUUUUGUAUAAUACCAGAGAAUUUAUUAAUAAAAACAUAUGUGAUUGAAAAUUUAAAUUUUCUAGUAUAAGAUACAAUUUAAAAUACUAAAACCUCUGUUAAUUCUUGGCUUAUAUUUUGACUAAUAGUACCAUAAUCAAUAAAACCUCUGUGUUUAUCUUUGGUUUGGUCAUAUACAAUUUGACGCAAUGACAUAGAAUCAAAAAUUAAUGUAAUGUUAUUUAAAAAAUCCAAUUUAGAAAUAUUUUGUUUUUUUUUUAAAA
Molecule: long non-coding RNA, 1143 nt
Organism: Formica exsecta
Lineage: Eukaryota; Metazoa; Arthropoda; Insecta; Hymenoptera; Formicidae
Exons: 2
Source: RefSeq, a predicted model, not a curated record